Long non-coding RNA from Wasmannia auropunctata (little fire ant), 615 nucleotides. RefSeq lists it as uncharacterized. The transcript is spliced from 4 exons. Lineage: Eukaryota; Metazoa; Arthropoda; Insecta; Hymenoptera; Formicidae. The record is from RefSeq and is a predicted model, not a curated record.
GAAGCAGUUAAGUCAAUUUAACCAGAGAGAAAACUAACACGAGAGAGAAGAUUACGACCUUUUGCAUGUUACCGAUGUUACAAUACUUUAAAAUGCCCUCGUGCACUAACGCCCCCUGAAGAAGUGGAUGUAACUAUAUAGCAAUAUUCACUUUUCUGCACUGUGGAUUACGGAUAUUUCCGGCGAGUAACAGUGUUCGAUUUUGUUCCAUGUUAUGUAUAUCGUUUGGUUCUAUUCUAUAUGCUAUAUAUUUUCCUUCAAUCUUUAAUAAGAUUGAACGAAUUCCCUGUAGCCCCUUCACGCAUUUAAAGCGUCCUUCGUAAGCUCUUCCGCAGUGCCACCUCCUACUAACACGGAUUUGCCAGAGAUAAAAAAAAGAAAUUUUCCUUCUCUUGCCGACUGAUGACAGCCAGCGGAUAAGCGUAUAAGUAAUUUUACGCUUUUUGAAACAAUGGGCGAAACGCGUCACGAAGGGCUAUUGUACUAAUUAAAUUAAUAAAAAAAUGAAUUUAAUAUUUACUAAAAUAUUUACUUUGUCUCUAUUUUAUGCACGUAAUGAUACGCGCGUUCAAAAAGUAAAAAGAUAACAAUUAAUAAAAAUUUUCUAUUACUCUA